AUACGGAGGGUGCAAGCGUUACUCGGAAUCACUGGGCGUAAAGCGCGCGCAGGCGGGCUGAUAAGUUGGAUGUGAAAGCCUACGGCUCAACCGUAGAACUGCAUCCAAAACUGGCAGUCUAGAGUGUGGGAGAGGAAGAUGGAAUUAGUUGUGUAGGGGUAAAAUCCGUAGAGAUAUCUAGGAAUACCAAAAGCGAAGGCAAUCUUCUGGAACACUACUGACGCUGAGGCGCGAAGGCGUGGGGAGCAAACAGGAUUAGAAACCCUAGUAGUCC
Molecule: ribosomal RNA, 274 nt
Filed under: uncultured bacterium
Lineage: Bacteria
Description: partial 16S ribosomal RNA
Rfam family: Bacterial small subunit ribosomal RNA
Source: RNAcentral